Molecule: RNase P RNA, 465 nt
Filed under: Candidatus Omnitrophota bacterium
Lineage: Bacteria; Pseudomonadati; Candidatus Omnitrophota
Description: Candidatus Omnitrophica bacterium RNase P RNA component class A
Rfam family: Bacterial RNase P class A
About the family: Ribonuclease P (RNase P) is a ubiquitous endoribonuclease, found in archaea, bacteria and eukarya as well as chloroplasts and mitochondria. Its best characterised activity is the generation of mature 5'-ends of tRNAs by cleaving the 5'-leader elements of precursor-tRNAs. Cellular RNase Ps are ribonucleoproteins.
Source: RNAcentral
AAAGCGCACCGGGUGAUCGCUUUCCGCAGAGAGCGGAGAGAGGAAAGUCCGGGCUCCGAAUAGCGGCGUAGCGGGUAACUCCCGUCCACCGCGAGGUGAGGAUAAGAGCCACAGAGACGAGUCUGCUUCGCUUUUUGACAUGCGGCGGAGGUAAAGCUUCGCGGGACCACUGGUCCCGGGAGAGGGGAACCCUCUACGAAGCCGCACCUCGGUUUUACAUGUUGACCGGCGCAGCAGGGUGAAACGAGGCAAUCUCUACGCGGAGCAAGGCCAAAUAGGGAAGGAGUCAGGAAAGUCCGGAACAUGCGGACCGACUGGCGGGAAGCGGCUAGUUUCCCAGACUUCCGGGUAGGCUGCCCGAGGCCUUUAGCGAUAAAGGUCCCAGACGGAUGGUCACCGCCCCGGUGCCGCUUUGCGCGGCAAACCACCGGGGUACAGAACCCGGCUUACAGGUGCGCUUUCAUG